CGAGGAGCUUGCUCCUCUGACGUUAGCGGCGGACGGGUGAGUAACACGUGGAUAACCUACCUAUAAGACUGGGAUAACUUCGGGAAACCGGAGCUAAUACCGGAUAAUAUAUUGAACCGCAUGGUUCAAUAGUGAAAGACGGUUUUGCUGUCACUUAUAGAUGGAUCCGCGCCGCAUUAGCUAGUUGGUAAGGUAACGGCUUACCAAGGCAACGAUGCGUAGCCGACCUGAGAGGGUGAUCGGCCACACUGGAACUGAGACACGGUCCAGACUCCUACGGGAGGCAGCAGUAGGGAAUCUUCCGCAAUGGGCGAAAGCCUGACGGAGCAACGCCGCGUGAGUGAUGAAGGUCUUCGGAUCGUAAAACUCUGUUAUUAGGGAAGAACAAAUGUGUAAGUAACUAUGCACGUCUUGACGGUACCUAAUCAGAAAGCCACGGCUAACUACGUGCCAGCAGCCGCGGUAAUACGUAGGUGGCAAGCGUUAUCCGGAAUUAUUGGGCGUAAAGCGCGCGUAGGCGGUUUUUUAAGUCUGAUGUGAAAGCCCACGGCUCAACCGUGGAGGGUCAUUGGAAACUGGAAAACUUGAGUGCAGAAGAGGAAAGUGGAAUUCCAUGUGUAGCGGUGAAAUGCGCAGAGAUAUGGAGGAACACCAGUGGCGAAGGCGACUUUCUGGUCUGUAACUGACGCUGAUGUGCGAAAGCGUGGGGAUCAAACAGGAUUAGAUACCCUGGUAGUCCACGCCGUAAACGAUGAGUGCUAAGUGUUAGGGGGUUUCCGCCCCUUAGUGCUGCAGCUAACGCAUUAAGCACUCCGCCUGGGGAGUACGACCGCAAGGUUGAAACUCAAAGGAAUUGACGGGGGACCCGCACAAGCGGUGGGAGCAUGUGGUUUAAUUCGAAGCAACGCGAA
This 911-nucleotide ribosomal RNA is filed under the name Staphylococcus epidermidis. Its description in RNAcentral is "bacterial SSU rRNA". It matches the Rfam family "Bacterial small subunit ribosomal RNA", at positions 72 to 965 of the family's 1533-position model. Lineage: Bacteria; Bacillati; Bacillota; Bacilli; Caryophanales; Staphylococcaceae. The record is from RNAcentral.